This 253-nucleotide ribosomal RNA is filed under the name uncultured bacterium. Its description in RNAcentral is "partial 16S ribosomal RNA". It matches the Rfam family "Bacterial small subunit ribosomal RNA", at positions 524 to 776 of the family's 1533-position model. The record is from RNAcentral.
UACGUAUGGUGCAAGCGUUAUCCGGAUUUACUGGGUGUAAAGGGAGCGCAGGCGGCACGGCAAGCCUGAUGUGAAAGCCCGCGGCCCAACCGCGGGACUGCAUUGGGAACUACCGGGCUGGAGUGCCGGGGAGGUAGGCGGAAUUCCUAGUGUAGCGGUGAAAUGCGUAGAUAUUAGGAGGAACACCAGUGGCGAAGGCGGCCUACUGGACGGUGACUGACGCUGAGGCUCGAAAGCGUGGGGAGCAAACAGG